CGUGAUUGGGGACUGGGGGCAGUGUCCGCCGCUUGAUCGGCGGACGGGAUCGGACGGAGUGCGGCAGCGCGUCGCGGCUCGUGCCUGCGAACGUGGGGGGCGCGCGUCCCUGUCGUGGCCUCUUCCUCAGCCGGUCGGCGCCCCGCGGCCGAUCGCAGCGCGCUCGAUCCGGCGAGCGGAUUCCUGAUCGGCUGCUGAUCCUGGGUUUUCC
RNAcentral lists this long non-coding RNA (211 nucleotides) under Setaria italica (foxtail millet). Its description in RNAcentral is "long non-coding RNA (SITA_LNC007234)". The record is from RNAcentral. Lineage: Eukaryota; Viridiplantae; Streptophyta; Magnoliopsida; Poales; Poaceae.